UACGGAGGGGGCUAGCGUUGUUCGGAAUUACUGGGCGUAAAGCGUCCGCAGGUGGCACUUCAAGUCUGUCGUCAAAGACUGGGGCUUAACCCUGGAAAGGCGGUGGAAACUGAAGCGCUAGAGUGCGGUAGGGGUAGAGGGAAUUCCCGGUGUAGCGGUGAAAUGCGUAGAGAUCGGGAAGAACAUCGGUGGCGAAAGCGCUCUACUGGACCGCAACUGACACUCAGGGACGAAAGCUAGGGGAGCGAAUGGG
Molecule: ribosomal RNA, 253 nt
Filed under: uncultured bacterium
Lineage: Bacteria
Description: partial 16S ribosomal RNA
Rfam family: Bacterial small subunit ribosomal RNA
Source: RNAcentral